RNAcentral lists this ribosomal RNA (468 nucleotides) under uncultured bacterium. RNAcentral describes it as "partial 16S ribosomal RNA". It matches the Rfam family "Bacterial small subunit ribosomal RNA", at positions 28 to 507 of the family's 1533-position model. The record is from RNAcentral.
GACGAACGCUGGCGGCGUGCUUAACACAUGCAAGUCGAACGGAAAGGCCCUGCUCUUGUGGGGUGCUCGAGUGGCGAACGGGUGUGUAACACGCGAGUAACCUGCCCUUGACUUUGGGAUAACUUCAGGAAACUGGGACUAAUAUAGGAUAGGAGCUCCUGAUGCAUGGUGGGGGUUGGAAAGUUUCGGCGGUUGGGGAUGGACUCGCGGGUUAUCAGCUUGUUGGUGGGGUAGUGGCUUACCAAGGCUUUGACGGAUAGCCGGCCUGAGAGGGUGACCGGCCACAUUAGGACUGAGGUACGGCCCAGACUCCUACGGUAGGCAGCAGUGGAGAAUAUUGCGCAAUGGGCGGAAGCCUGAUACAGCAGCGCCGCGUGCGGGAUGACGGCCUUCUGGUUGUAAACCGCUUUCGCCUGUGACGAAGCGUGAGUGACGGUAAUGGGUAAAGAAGCACCGGCUAACUACGUG